UACAACGCACUACCUGUUCAUAUUAGUCGUUGCUGUCAACAGCACACUGCUCACCAUAAACGCAGGGGACUACAUCUUCUACACAGACUGGGCGUGAACGUCCUUCGUUGUGUUCUCGUUGUACCAUUCGUCGUUGCUUGCAGUAGGCGCUGUAUCCUACUUGGUUCUCACAUGUCGUCCAUGCACCCCAAUCUAUCACUCCCCUACUAUCAUCAUCUACACAUGUGUACCUACGUGCUCACGGCUUACACUGUGAUAACCCGAUCUCUCCGUCUAGGAGACACGACGCAACAAGCACGCUGCCAUCUGGAUUGGCUGUACGCUGGUUGCCAUAGCCUUCCCGCUGUUCAACAUGGUCAACCUGUUGCUUGUAAGGGACCCGCUCGAGGUGGCCUUCAAGUAUCCGAGAACGACUCUGCCAGCGUACAUGACGCCUAUAGAGCCUCAGGUAGGGAAGUUCUACAACUCGCCUGUCGCCCUGGGUUCAGGUGCCGGUGCAGUGCUAACGGUACCCAUCGCUGCGUUGGGUGCAAAACUAAACACGUGG
RNAcentral lists this ribosomal RNA (547 nucleotides) under uncultured Nitrososphaerota archaeon. Its description in RNAcentral is "uncultured thaumarchaeote partial 16S ribosomal RNA". The record is from RNAcentral. Lineage: Archaea; Thermoproteati; Nitrososphaerota.